UUUUUCUUUAUUGUUAUAUUUCAUUUUGUUUUGGUUUAUUUAUUUAUUUAUUUUUGAGAAAAUUGAUGUCCAUUAUUUUAAUGCUUGUACACUUGUAUAGUUUUCUUGGCCUAAUAAUGUGAUUAGAGAAAAUUCAACACUGAAUUAUGCCCCUUUUUUGUUGAAUCCAAAUACACAACUAACGAAGAACUUUGAAACAUUCCACCCUUUUUACUAGUUUAGCAACCAUCAUACAAACCCAAAAUGACUUUACUUUCAUUGGUUAGAUGCACAAUAAAGUGGUUCUAGGUAGCCAUAUAACAUAGUUAAGGUCACACUUGUCUUAGGGAAGAUCCAGCAAAAAUGACUUUAAUUUCAUUGGUUAGAUGUGAAAAAGUCCAGCUUAACCUCCAAUUGGAUUUCAUUCUAAGCCUUUUGUUUUCUAUAGAGAGAGGUGAGUUUUAGAUAUUUUUUCCUCCCAUUAUAUACAGCUUCUAGAAACAAAAUUGCAUGCUUUGUGAAGUCUCACUCUAUUCUAUGGCUGAGUUUUUAAACUAGGAAGUACUAAAAAAACGUAUUGAUUUAUUUGAUCAUUACUUCUCAUGUCCUGGUUGCAACCAAAAAACAGGCUGCAGCCCCAAAACCCAACAGUAGCCACCAAAAAACAGGAAAAUAAAACAGAACUGCCACCAUCGUAGCUCAAUUGGAGAUCUGGCUGCAGCCCCAAAUCCAGAAUAGAACACACUCAAAGCUCCACAUUUCCACCUAAACACCUUCUAAUCUGGCUAAGGAGGAGAAGAUGAAGGGAAGAAACAAAGAGGUGGUGACUAGGGAGUACACCAUCAACCUCCACAAGCACUUGCACAGCUAAGACGUUGAAUUUGAAAAGUGCAAAUGAAUAUAAAUACUUGAGGCAAAGCAAUUGCUAUUCAAUUUCUGGGGUUGAUGAUGCUAGACAGUUUCGCAUUGUAAUGGAAGCUCUGGAUAUUGUUCAUGUUAGCAAAGAGGAUCAAGAAAGUGUAUUUAAAAUGCUCACUGCAGUUUUGUGGUUGGGGAAUGUCUCCUUUACAGUGAUUGAUAAUGAAAACCAUGUUGAACCUGUGGCAGAUGAAGGUAACAAUCUACUAAAAAGAUAAAGUUUAACAGUUGCAUGGUUGUUUUGUUCAUUUGAUUUGUUGUUAUUUAUUUUGCUUGUAGGUGGAUUAUUGGCUGUAGGUAGCAACACUCCUAUUUGAAUGAACAAUCCUAUUUAUUGCAGUUUGGACAUACGAAUCCAUACUAGCCCUCCUUGAGCCUGUUGCUCUUGAGUAUGACCCCAUGCACCUCAGUUCAAGGGUUCAAAUGCUAGUGAUGGAUUGCUAAAAUUGGACAUGGCAAUCCUUGUUGCAGUGAAGAGGUUUUGAAACCCCUUUAAAAAAAUUACAUUGCUGAUGGUACUUCAUGAA
Non-coding RNA from Camellia sinensis, 1424 nucleotides. The record is from RefSeq and is a predicted model, not a curated record. Lineage: Eukaryota; Viridiplantae; Streptophyta; Magnoliopsida; Ericales; Theaceae.